GCAGCAGACCGUUCUGUCGCUCUGUACAUUCGUGUAUGGGGAGGAAAGUCCGGACAACACAGAGCACCAUGCUUCCUAACGGGAAGAUGCCCGUGAGGGUAUAGUAAGGUAACAGAAAAUAACCGUCCCGAUGUUUGUCCUGAGCUUGCCGAAGGAUACUCGGGAUAAGGGUGAAAAGGUGAGGUAAGAGCUCACCGGAUCCUGUGGUGACACGGGAUGCCGUACCUCUUAUGGGUUGAAAGACCACGUAUACCGGCACUGAGGAUUGCUCGUCCGAUGUCGGGGGGUGGGUCGUUAAAGCUAUCCAGCAAUGAAUAGCUUAGAGAAAUGACAGAAAACCUGCCAGCAUAUCUCUAUGAGGUAGAAGGACAGGGGACAGAAUCCGGCUUACAGGUUUGCUGCAUUA
RNAcentral lists this RNase P RNA (406 nucleotides) under Bacteroidales bacterium. RNAcentral's name for it is "RNase P RNA component class A". It matches the Rfam family "Bacterial RNase P class A". Rfam says of the family: Ribonuclease P (RNase P) is a ubiquitous endoribonuclease, found in archaea, bacteria and eukarya as well as chloroplasts and mitochondria. Its best characterised activity is the generation of mature 5'-ends of tRNAs by cleaving the 5'-leader elements of precursor-tRNAs. The record is from RNAcentral. Lineage: Bacteria; Pseudomonadati; Bacteroidota; Bacteroidia; Bacteroidales.